RNAcentral lists this ribosomal RNA (305 nucleotides) under uncultured bacterium. RNAcentral's name for it is "bacterial SSU rRNA". It matches the Rfam family "Bacterial small subunit ribosomal RNA", at positions 335 to 655 of the family's 1533-position model. The record is from RNAcentral.
CAUCCUACGGGAGGCAGCAGUGGGGAAUAUUGGGCAAUGGGCGCAAGCCUGACCCAGCAACGCCGCGUGAAGGAAGAAGGCUUUCGGGUUGUAAACUUCUUUUAAGAGGGAAGAGAAGAAGACGGUACCUCUUGAAUAAGCCACGGCUAACUACGUGCCAGCAGCCGCGGUAAUACGUAGGUGGCAAGCGUUGUCCGGAUUUACUGGGUGUAAAGGGCGUGUAGGCGGGAAAGCAAGUCAGAUGUGAAAACCACGGGCUCAACCUGUGGCCUGCAUUUGAAACUGUUUUUCUUGAGUACUGGAGA